RNAcentral lists this ribosomal RNA (235 nucleotides) under uncultured Staphylococcus sp. RNAcentral's name for it is "partial 16S ribosomal RNA". It matches the Rfam family "Bacterial small subunit ribosomal RNA", at positions 105 to 334 of the family's 1533-position model. The record is from RNAcentral. Lineage: Bacteria; Bacillati; Bacillota; Bacilli; Caryophanales; Staphylococcaceae.
GGUGAGUAACACGUGGAUAGCCUACCUAUAAGACUGGGAUAACUUCGGGAAACCGGAGCUAAUACCGGAUAAUAUAUUGAACCGCAUGGUUCAAUAGUGAAAGACGGUUUUGCUGUCACUUAUAGAUGGAUCCGCGCCGCAUUAGCUAGUUGGUAAGGUAACGGCUUACCAAGGCGACGAUGCGUAGCCGACCUGAGAGGGUGAUCGGCCACACUGGAACUGAGACACGGUCCAG